Molecule: ribosomal RNA, 175 nt
Filed under: uncultured Desulfuromonas sp.
Lineage: Bacteria; Pseudomonadati; Thermodesulfobacteriota; Desulfuromonadia; Desulfuromonadales; Desulfuromonadaceae
Description: partial 16S ribosomal RNA
Rfam family: Bacterial small subunit ribosomal RNA
Source: RNAcentral
AGGGGCUACACACGUGCUACAAUGGCCGGUACAAAGGGCUGCAAGACCGUGAGGUUGAGCGAAUCCCAGAAAGCCGGUCUCAGUUCGGAUUGGAGUCUGCAACUCGACUCCAUGAAGUUGGAAUCGCUAGUAAUCGCGGAUCAGCAUGCCGCGGUCGAAUACGUUCCCGGGCCUU